RNAcentral lists this ribosomal RNA (505 nucleotides) under uncultured bacterium. RNAcentral describes it as "partial 16S ribosomal RNA". It matches the Rfam family "Bacterial small subunit ribosomal RNA", at positions 28 to 507 of the family's 1533-position model. The record is from RNAcentral.
GACGAACGCUGGCGGCGUGCCUAAUACAUGCAAGUCGAACGCACAGUUUAUACCGUAGCUUGCUACACCAUAGACUGUGAGUUGCGAACGGGUGAGUAACGCGUAGGUAACCUGCCUGGUAGCGGGGGAUAACUAUUGGAAACGAUAGCUAAUACCGCAUAAUAUUAAUUAUUGCAUGAUAAUUAAUUGAAAGGUGCAAUUGCACCACUACCAGAUGGACCUGCGUUGUAUUAGCUAGUAGGUGAGGUAACGGCUCACCUAGGCGACGAUACAUAGCCGACCUGGGAGGGUGAUCGGCCACACUGGGACGGAGACACGGCCCAGACUCCUACGGGAGGCAGCAGUAGGGAAUCUUCGGCAAGGGACGAAAGUCUGACCGAGCAACGCCGCGUGAGUGAAGAAGGUUUUCGGAUCGUAAAGCCCUGUUGUAAGAGAAGAACGGGUGUGAGAGUGGAAAGUUCACACUGUGACGGUAUCUUACCAGAAAGGGACGGCUAACUACGUG